Molecule: ribosomal RNA, 759 nt
Filed under: uncultured Burkholderiales bacterium
Lineage: Bacteria; Pseudomonadati; Pseudomonadota; Betaproteobacteria; Burkholderiales
Description: bacterial SSU rRNA
Rfam family: Bacterial small subunit ribosomal RNA
Source: RNAcentral
UAGCGGGAUGCCUUACACAUGCCAGUCGAACGGCAGCGCGGACUUCGGUCUGGCGACGAGUGGCGAACGGGUGAGUAAUAUAUCGGAACGUGCCCAGUAGCGGGGGAUAACUACUCGAAAGAGUAGCUAAUACCGCAUACGCCCUACGGGGGAAAGGGGGGGAUCGCAAGACCUCUCACUAUUGGAGCGGCCGAUAUCGGAUUAGCUAGUUGGUGAGGUAAAGGCUCACCAAGGCGACGAUCCGUAGCUGGUUUGAGAGGACGACCAGCCACACUGGGACUGAGACACGGCCCAGACUCCUACGGGAGGCAGCAGUGGGGAAUUUUGGACAAUGGGGGAAACCCUGAUCCAGCCAUUCCGCGUGUGCGAUGAAGGCCUUCGGGUUGUAAAGCACUUUUGGCAGGAAAGAAAUCGCAUGGAUUAAUACUCUGUGUGGAUGACGGUACCUGCAGAAUAAGCACCGGCUAACUACGUGCCASCAGCCGCGGUAAUACGUAGGGUGCAAGCGUUAAUCGGAAUUACUGGGCGUAAAGCGUGCGCAGGCGGUUCGGAAAGAAAGGUGUGAAAUCCCAGGGCUUAACCUUGGAACUGCACUUUUAACUACCGAGCUAGAGUAUGUCAGAGGGGGGUGGAAUUCCGCGUGUAGCAGUGAAAUGCGUAGAUAUGCGGAGGAACACCGAUGGCGAAGGCAGCCCCCUGGGAUAAUACUGACGCUCAUGCACGAAAGCGUGGGGAGCAACAGGAUUAGAUACCCUGGUA